AUGAUGGAUAGGCAAGGCAUUUCAUCUCUGGUCUUCGAGAACAACGACUGCGCGAACAACUACAUCACCAAAGCGUCCAUCUUCGACCUACAACGACAAAUGCAAGGCGCACAAUCAAGAUUGCGAGAGCGCAUCGACAACCUCGCCAUUGACAUACAACACUCCGAAGCACAUACAAGAGCCUACUUUGACAACAAGUUUUCCGCACAAAAGGAGGAGAAAUAUGCAAGGAUGGAGGAGAUUCGGGCUUUGGUCAAGUCUACUUCCCCUUUGUCAUAUUCAAGGCGACGGCGAGCAAGUCGAUCACAUUUGGAGCGGCCACGCGAUGCAAGUACCACGCGGCACCGUCGUCGUCUUCGAGACGACCACCAAGACCACGGACAAGACCAUGAAGAGCGACCUUCAGGACCCCGUGCACACGGCCUCCUGCACCACCGUGCGCACGGGCUAUACAGAACAGCACCAUCGACCCCAAGGCACGGCUUCGUCAACAACUUUGGCAUCCUCGCCAAGUGA
RNAcentral lists this ribosomal RNA (516 nucleotides) under Triticum aestivum (bread wheat). Its description in RNAcentral is "partial small subunit ribosomal RNA". Lineage: Eukaryota; Viridiplantae; Streptophyta; Magnoliopsida; Poales; Poaceae. The record is from RNAcentral.